Long non-coding RNA from Equus asinus (donkey), 899 nucleotides. Lineage: Eukaryota; Metazoa; Chordata; Mammalia; Perissodactyla; Equidae. The record is from Ensembl.
CCAUAGAGCCCCCAGGUGUUCAUAUUCCUCCUUAAGGCUGCAGCCAAGGAAAGGCCUUUUGGGGUUUUCUUUUGGAAGCAAAGGAUACAGUGAUUGGGGGACCUCCUGUGAAAAAGUCUUGGGGAAUGGAAGUUCUGACUCCAGCAUAACAGCUGAAGCUGGGGAUUGGCCUGACCCAGCUCCACUGGGAAAAGGUCCCAAUGAUUAAUGUUGAGGAGGGAGGGGAAGUGGCAUCACAGAUACUGAUUAUAAUACAAGGAGCUUUAUUCAUAACUACCCAAACAUGGAAGCAACCGAGAUGUCCCCCAAUAGGCAAGAAGAUACAUAAACUGGGAUACAUCAAGGCAAUGGGAACGCCAUUCAGCAACAAAAAGAGAUGAACUACAGAGACAUGAGGAGAACCCCAAAUGCAUAUUACUGGCUGAAAGAAGACAUCUGAAAAGGUCACACACCAUAAACCCCAGUCAUAUAGGAUGCUACGGAGAAGACAAAAGUAUGGAGACAGCAAAAAGAUCAGCGGGUUGCCAGGAGUCAGGGUGGAGAGAGGGAAGAACCCAGGUGUUUCUCAUCCCAGGAUUCCCCUGCAAUCCUGGUAGAACACCGAGAUCCCGAGAGAUCCUGCAAGAUUGUGCUGCUUCUGCCAAGAGUGGUUGCAGCAGCAGCGUCUGGGGUCUGAUUCCACCAUUUUCUGAGCCACCCUUGAAACUCAGCACAAGUUUUUUGGAUUUUAACCAUUCGAAUAUGUAUAUGGAAGUAUCACAUUUUUAUUUUAAUUGGCAAUUCCCUAAUGACAAAUGAUUUUGUGCCUUUUUUACUUGGGCCGUUUGUUUUUCUAUUGUUGAUUUUAAAGGGUUCUUUGUGUAUUUUGGCUAUAAGUCCUUUAUCAGAUAUAUAUUUUC